RNAcentral lists this ribosomal RNA (868 nucleotides) under uncultured bacterium. RNAcentral's name for it is "bacterial SSU rRNA". It matches the Rfam family "Bacterial small subunit ribosomal RNA", at positions 600 to 1466 of the family's 1533-position model. The record is from RNAcentral.
UCNUCUGGCUUAACUGGGGGCUUGCGGUGGGUACGGGCCGGCUUGAGUGCGGUAGGGGAGACUGGAACUCCUGGUGUAGCGGUGGAAUGCGCAGAUAUCAGGAAGAACACCGGUGGCGAAGGCGGGUCUCUGGGCCGUUACUGACGCUGAGGAGCGAAAGCGUGGGGAGCGAACAGGAUUAGAUACCCUGGUAGUCCACGCCGUAAACGUUGGGCACUAGGUGUGGGGGGGCCUUUUCCGGGUCUUCCGCGCCGUAGCUAACGCAUUAAGUGCCCCGCCUGGGGAGUACGGCCGCAAGGCUAAAACUCAAAGGAAUUGACGGGGGCCCGCACAAGCGGCGGAGCAUGCGGAUUAAUUCGAUGCAACGCGAAGAACCUUACCAAGGCUUGACAUGUGCCGGUCGGCUCCGGAGACGGGGCUUCCUCCUUGUGGGGCCGGUUCACAGGUGGUGCAUGGUUGUCGUCAGCUCGUGUCGUGAGAUGUUGGGUUAAGUCCCGCAACGAGCGCAACCCUUGUCCCGUGUUGCCAGCACGUUGUGGUGGGGACUCGCGGGAGACUGCCGGGGUCAACUCGGAGGAAGGUGGGGAUGACGUCAAAUCAUCAUGCCCCUUAUGUCUUGGGCUUCACGCAUGCUACAAUGGCCGGUACAGAGGGCUGCGAUACCGUGAGGUGGAGCGAAUCCCUUAAAGCCGGUCUCAGUUCGGAUCGGUGUCUGCAACUCGACACCGUGAAGUUGGAGUCGCUAGUAAUCGCAGAUCAGCAACGCUGCGGUGAAUACGUUCUCGGGCCUUGUACACACCGCCCGUCACGUCAUGAAAGUCGGCAACACCCGAAGCCCGUGGCCCUACGGGGAGCGGUCGAAGGUGGG